RNAcentral lists this ribosomal RNA (588 nucleotides) under Saccharomyces cerevisiae (brewer's yeast). Its description in RNAcentral is "eukaryotic LSU rRNA". It matches the Rfam family "Eukaryotic large subunit ribosomal RNA", at positions 52 to 654 of the family's 3401-position model. The record is from RNAcentral. Lineage: Eukaryota; Fungi; Ascomycota; Saccharomycetes; Saccharomycetales; Saccharomycetaceae.
GGAGGAAAAGAAACCAACCGGGAUUGCCUUAGUAACGGCGAGUGAAGCGGCAAAAGCUCAAAUUUGAAAUCUGGUACCUUCGGUGCCCGAGUUGUAAUUUGGAGAGGGCAACUUUGGGGCCGUUCCUUGUCUAUGUUCCUUGGAACAGGACGUCAUAGAGGGUGAGAAUCCCGUGUGGCGAGGAGUGCGGUUCUUUGUAAAGUGCCUUCGAAGAGUCGAGUUGUUUGGGAAUGCAGCUCUAAGUGGGUGGUAAAUUCCAUCUAAAGCUAAAUAUUGGCGAGAGACCGAUAGCGAACAAGUACAGUGAUGGAAAGAUGAAAAGAACUUUGAAAAGAGAGUGAAAAAGUACGUGAAAUUGUUGAAAGGGAAGGGCAUUUGAUCAGACAUGGUGUUUUGUGCCCUCUGCUCCUUGUGGGUAGGGGAAUCUCGCAUUUCACUGGGCCAGCAUCAGUUUUGGUGGCAGGAUAAAUCCAUAGGAAUGUAGCUUGCCUCGGUAAGUAUUAUAGCCUGUGGGAAUACUGCCAGCUGGGACUGAGGACUGCGACGUAAGUCAAGGAUGCUGGCAUAAUGGUUAUAUGCCGCCCGUCU